RNAcentral lists this ribosomal RNA (483 nucleotides) under Exocelina aubei. RNAcentral describes it as "partial 16S ribosomal RNA". The stretch from base 360 to 483 matches the Rfam family "Bacterial large subunit ribosomal RNA", at positions 2473 to 2597 of the family's 2925-position model. The record is from RNAcentral. Lineage: Eukaryota; Metazoa; Arthropoda; Insecta; Coleoptera; Dytiscidae.
ACCUGCCCACUGAAAUUUUUAAAUGGCCGCAGUAAUUUGACUGUGCAAAGGUAGCAUAAUCAUUAGUUUUUUAAUUAAAAGCUUGUAUGAAUGGUUGGACGAGGUAAAAUCUGUCUUUAUUUAAAUAAUAUUAGAAUUUAAUUUUUAAGUUAAAAAGCUUAAAUUUAUAUAAAAGACGAGAAGACCCUAUAGAUCUUUAUAUUUUAAAAUAUAAUUUUAAUAAAGAAUAUUUAAUUUUUUAUAUUUUAUAUUAUUUUAUUGGGGUAAUAAAAAGAUUAAAUUAAUUCUUUUUGAUAUUUUACAUUGAUUAAUGAAUUUAUGAUCCAAUAUUUUUGAUUAUAAGAUUAAGUUACCUUAGGGAUAACAGCGUAAUUUUUUUUGAGAGUUCAUAUCGAUAAAAAAGUUUGCGACCUCGAUGUUGGAUUAAAAAUUGUUUUAGGCGCAGAAGUUUAAAAAUUUGGUCUGUUCGACCAUUAAAUUUUU